ACCUUUUGAACAAGCAUAGUUUCCAGGUACUCCAGGCAUUUCUGGACAGUUGUUACAUGAAACAAUAUCAGCUUAAUUAUGUGAAGCCAAAGUAAUGGAAAGAGACAAAAUAAAAAUUUAAAAAUAUAUAUUGACUAUCCUAGAAAUCUAGUUAAGUUGAAGCUCACAAGUUGCUCCCCCUUGAGGAGCUUUUGAACAAGUUCCUGACCAACCAAAG
This 217-nucleotide unclassified non-coding RNA is filed under the name Hevea brasiliensis (rubber tree). The record is from RNAcentral. Lineage: Eukaryota; Viridiplantae; Streptophyta; Magnoliopsida; Malpighiales; Euphorbiaceae.